This 248-nucleotide ribosomal RNA is filed under the name uncultured bacterium. RNAcentral describes it as "partial 16S ribosomal RNA". It matches the Rfam family "Bacterial small subunit ribosomal RNA", at positions 523 to 769 of the family's 1533-position model. The record is from RNAcentral.
AUACGUAGGUGGCAAGCGUUGUCCGGAUUUACUGGGCGUAAAGGAUGUGUAGGCGGAUAUUUAAGUGAGAUGUGAAAUCCCCCGGGCUUAACUUGGGGGCUGCAUUUCAAACUGGAUGUCUAGAGUGCAGGAGAGGAAAGCAGAAUUCCUAGUGUAGCGGUGAAAUGCGUAGAGAUUAGGAAGAAUACCAGUGGCGAAGGCGGCUUUCUGGACUGUAACUGACGCUGAGGCUCGAAAGCGUGGGUAGC